Salmo salar (Atlantic salmon) is the source of this 843-nucleotide long non-coding RNA. RefSeq lists it as uncharacterized. NCBI's taxonomy places the organism in Eukaryota, Metazoa, Chordata, Actinopteri, Salmoniformes, Salmonidae. The record is from RefSeq and is a predicted model, not a curated record.
GCAAAGCAUGGACAGCCAAAACAAAGUAAGUUAAUGUAGUCUUUAACUUUUCUUACAAAGCUAUGGGUCAUUUUCAACCUCAUUAGGCAACCGUGGCAAAUGCUGCUCUUGUGAUUUUAAGCAGUUUAUGGAAAUGCAAGGCUGCAAAGUCCCUAGGUGGAAAGGUCUCAAGGUCUCACACCCCUAUCAGCCAGAUUACCAUUCAUGUGGAGCAUUCAUGUGCAAAGUAGGUGGACAUUGGAGACAUGACUUUGAUCAUUCUCCUGUAAAGGUACUGUUCCUGUAAUAGUGUGUUUUAGACUGGUCCUAGUUACUGCCACAGUGUGAAUUGAAUGCCAAAUUUCAGAUUUAUUUUGUCAGUUUGCAGAGUACCUUCUACGAGGUGAAAACAUGUAUUUCUCUACACAAAUGGAACACCUGGACCAAAUGUUCCCUGAAAUAGCCCUGCACUUGACGUUCUAAUCAUUGACAAAUGCAUUUAAAUAUGCCUCUCUCCACAGAACAUCAACAGACUGUGCAGAGUGUGUGAAAAAAGAACCACACCUGAUGGAACAACAGAAACUAUAUGGGCAACCCAUUGAUGAAGCUGCGGACCAACAUUUGUCGUUUUUGUGGCUGGGGAAGAACAGCAUUUUAAAUGUAUUUUUCAAUUGAUAAGGCCGGGAAGAACAGCAUUUAAAAUGUAUUUCUCAAUUGAUGAGGCUGGGUAUGAACAGCAUUUUUUGUUGUUGUCAUAUGCAAGUGUCUUUUCGAGCAGUUAGAGGUGAUCUACACUGUCUGAGAAAGGGAUACUUCCCCAUGUUGUCUCCAAUGCUUCCCACAGUUGUGUCAAGUUGGCUGGAU